GGAUUAGGCAUGCAAGUCGAACGAGGGAGUGCCUCGAAAGGGGUACAAACCGAGUGGCGUAAGGGUGAGUAAUGCAUUGAUAACCUACCUUUAAGAUGAGGAUAACAACGUUUCGAGCAAUCGAAGCUACCGAAAGGGUUGCUAAUACUCAAUAAAACUUUUAAUACUUCGGUGUUAAAAGUCAAAUGUCUGGAACCGAAAGGUUCCAUUUGCUUGGAGAGGGGUCAAUGUCCUAUCAGCUAGUUGGUAGGGUAAUAGCCUACCAAGGCGAAGACGGGUAGCCGGCCUGAGAGGGUGGUCGGCCACAUUGGGACUGAGACACUGCCCAGACUCCUACGGGAGGCUGCAGUCGAGAAUCUUUCGCAAUGCCCGAAAGGGUGACGAAGCGACGCCGCGUGUGGGAAGAAGGCCUUCGGGUUGUAAACCACUGUCGGGAGUUAAGAAAUGUAAGGAUGUUAAUAGCGUCCUUACUUGACUAAGGCUCCAGAGGAAGCCACGGCUAACUCUGUGCCAGCAGCCGCGGUAAUACAGAGGCGGCAAGCGUUGUUCGGAAUUAUUGGGCGUAAAGAGCACGUAGGCGGCCUCAUAAGUCAGUUGUGAAAGCCUUCUGCUUAACGGAAGAACAGCAUCUGAUACUGCGAGGCUAGAGUGCGGGAGGGGAGAGUGGAACUUCUGGUGGAACGGUGAAAUGCGUAGAUAUCAGAAGGAACACCGGCGGCGAAAGCGACUCUCUGGCCCGUAACUGACGCUGAGUGUGCGAAAGCUAGGGGAGCAAACGGGAUUAGAUACCCCGGUAGUCCUAGCCGUAAACGAUGGGCACUAAGUAGAGGGGUUUU
This 836-nucleotide ribosomal RNA is filed under the name uncultured Planctomycetota bacterium. RNAcentral describes it as "bacterial SSU rRNA". It matches the Rfam family "Bacterial small subunit ribosomal RNA", at positions 46 to 832 of the family's 1533-position model. The record is from RNAcentral. Lineage: Bacteria; Pseudomonadati; Planctomycetota.